GAGUUUGAUCCUGGCUCAGGACGAACGCUGGCGGCGUGCUUUAUACAUGCAAGUCGAACGAUGAAGUUCCUUCGGGAAUGGAUUAGUGGCGAACGGGUGAGGAACACGUGAGGCACCUGCCUUUCAUUCUGGGAAACACGGGAACCGUGCUAAUACCGGAUACUCCAUCUUGGCGGCAUCGCCGAGCUGGGAAAAAUUNUGAUGAAAGAUGGUCUCGCGGCCUAUCAGCUAGUUGGUGAGGUAAAGGCUCACCAAGGCGACGACGGGUAGCCGGCCUGAGAGGGCGACCGGCCACACUGGGACUGAGACACGGCCCAGACUCCUACGNGAGGCAGCAGUAGGGAAUAUUGGGCAAUGGGCGAAAGCUUGACCCAGCGACGCCGCGUGAGGGAUGAAGGUCUUCGGAUUGUAAACCUCUUUCAGUAGGGAAGAAGCGAAAGUGACGGUACCUAAAGAAGAAGCACCGGCUAACUAUGUGCCAGCAGCCGCGNUAAUACAUAGUGUGCAAGCGUUGUCCGGAAUUAUUGGGCSUAAAGAGCUCGUAGGUCGUUUGUCGCGUCGAUUGUGAAAAUCUGAGGCUCAACCUCAGACCUGCAGUCGAUACGGCAAACUAGAGUGUGGUAGGGAGACUGGAAUUMCUGGUGUGGCGGUGGAAUGCGCAGAUAUCAGGAGGAACACCAAUGGCGAAGGCAGGUCUCUGGGCCAUAACUGACACUGAGGAGCGAAAGUGCGGGGAGCGAACAGGAUUAGAUACCCUGGUAGUCCGCACGUAAACGGUGGGCACUAGUUGUGGGAACCUUCCACGGUUUCCGCGACGCAGCAAACGCAUUAAGUGCCCCGCCUGGGGAGUACGAUCGCAAGAUUAAAACUCAAAGAAAUUGACGGGGGCCUGCACAAGUGGUGGAGCAUGUGGUUUAAUUCGAUGCAAUGCGAAGAACCUUAUCUGGGCUUGAUAUGAACUGGAAGAGUGGUAGAGAUGUUUUUGCUUGUAAGAGUUGGUUUAUAGGUGCUGCAUGGCUGUCGUCAGCUCGUGUCGUGAGAUGUUGGGUUAAGUCCCGCAAUGAGCGCAACCCUUACCUUUAGUUGCCAGCAUUUAGUUGGGCACUCUAAAGGGACUGCCUGCGUUAAGCAGGAGGAAGGUGGGGAUGACGUCAAGUUCUCAUGGCCUUUAUGUUCAGGGCUACAUAUGUGUUACAAUGGUGGUCACAGAGGGAAGCCAAGCCGCAAGGUGGAGCCAAUCCCUUAAAAGCCAUCUAAGUUCAGAUUGGUCUCUGCAACUCGAGAUCAUGAAGUUGGAAUCGCUAGUAAUCGCGGAUCAGAAUGCCGCGGUGAAUACGUUCCCGGGCCUUGUACACACGAUCGUAUUCCCG
RNAcentral lists this ribosomal RNA (1370 nucleotides) under uncultured Actinomycetes bacterium. Its description in RNAcentral is "uncultured actinobacterium partial 16S ribosomal RNA". It matches the Rfam family "Bacterial small subunit ribosomal RNA". Lineage: Bacteria; Bacillati; Actinomycetota; Actinomycetes. The record is from RNAcentral.